CUUUGGUAAUUUAGCGUUUGUGAUUUUAUUUGAGUCAUAAAGCUAGAUUACCAAAGCA
RNAcentral lists this microRNA precursor (58 nucleotides) under Tribolium castaneum (red flour beetle). RNAcentral's name for it is "Tca-Mir-9-P12_pre stem-loop". The record is from RNAcentral. Lineage: Eukaryota; Metazoa; Arthropoda; Insecta; Coleoptera; Tenebrionidae.